RNAcentral lists this unclassified non-coding RNA (277 nucleotides) under Hevea brasiliensis (rubber tree). The record is from RNAcentral. Lineage: Eukaryota; Viridiplantae; Streptophyta; Magnoliopsida; Malpighiales; Euphorbiaceae.
AAGCAUGCCUUUUGUUGUUUUCGCAGUCAUUUACUCUUGUAAUUGAAAUUUCAUCGUUGUGAGGUUAGAUAAUUCAUAAAAAUGGUAAUAUUAGAUAUAUGGUGAUGCCAGAGAGAAGACUUGCACUGCUUGGUACUGCAUUUGUAUGUAAUAAUGUGUUACUUAUUUGAAGGCAAUGGAAAAAUAGAAAAUUUAACUUUAUUAUUUUUGGUUGGGAAGUUUAGAAUAUAUUUGCAAUUGGGAUUAGGAGCAAUUGGCGUAGUUUAGGAAAUUUUGU